This is a non-coding RNA of Salvelinus sp. IW2-2015, 1283 nucleotides long. Lineage: Eukaryota; Metazoa; Chordata; Actinopteri; Salmoniformes; Salmonidae. The record is from RefSeq and is a predicted model, not a curated record.
AUUUUUAAAUAUUUUCAAAUUCAGUAAACAGAAUGUUCAAUAGAAUAAUUGCUAUGACAGAAAUAGUUUCAACAGAUUUAUUAUGGAACCAGAAGAAGUGUAGAAGAGAAGUUCAGGCUUCUCUGCUCCUCUUGAUGUUUGGUUGUAAAUGCUGUGAAUGAGGUGAAGGUAUUGGUAUUAUUAAAUUCCUGUGAAUGAGGUGAAGGUAUUGGUAUUAUUAAAUGCCUGUGAAUGAGGUAAAGGUAUUGGUAUUAUUAAAUUCCUGUGAAUGAGGUGAAGGUAUUGGUAUUAUUAAAUGCCUGUGAAUGAGGUAAAGGUAUUGGUAUAACGUUUUUAUGAAGUGAUGAACCAGCUUUGAUUUUCAACGUUUUUGCUUGUUUUUUCCCUACAACCUCUCGUUCUUCAGUAAGUUGCUCUCUUUCUUUCUUUCUUUCUUUCUUUCUUUCUUUCUUUCUUUCUUUCUUUCUUUCUUUCUUUCUUUCUUUCUUUCUUUCUUUCUUUCUUUCUUUCUGUUGUUUUAUGUGCCUCAGUACAUACGCUUGAUUACCUGCGUGUGUGCGUGUGUGCGUGUGUGCGUGUGUGUGUGUGGAAAAGAAAGCGCUAAAGAGAGAACUGUUGACUGAUGUGCUGUAUGUAAAUAACUUACCUCCCUCUAGCAGACUUUUAAUAAAAGUGUACAAAAUGGCUGAAAGUAAGAACCUUUUGGGUGACAUCUUUGACUUGAAGGUUCCCUGCUAAAAUWGUUUUAUAAAAAYUGAAAGGCCACARGUGUGCAAGCUUGUAAUUUGUUGAAAGAGUGCACACCUAAAGUAGUAGAGACUAUUUUUACAGCAAGUUGAUGUAUUUCCUUUCACUUUAAUUUGGUAAAAGACCGGCAUACACACUUGUUUUUGUUACACAACUAAUGGUAAUGACAUUAGUGGCUAUUACAUAAGCACAACAUCAUGACUCUCUACUACAUUUUUACAAGUUAUAAUUUUUCUUCUUUGGCAACCCUUUAUUUUACGUGUUUCCAAGAGAAAAUUAUAACACGACCAUUUCUAGAACUGUACAGAUUGUGAAAAUGUAUAUAUGACUAAACAUUUCAGUCACUCUUUAAUUUUUGUAUGGGAAGAAAUGACAUGUGUUAAAGAAUAAUAACAAAUGUGAUUAAAUAUUUAAUAAUAUUUAAAAUGAGGAUAAUUAAACACAGUCYAUGUGAAAAUAAGUGCUAAGAAAUAUUCUUCUUCUGUCUCUUUGUACAAAACAAAGUGUUGAGUAUUAAUAAUAAAACAAUGAAAUCA